CUAAGGAGACUGCCGGUGACAAACCGGAGGAAGGUGGGGGAUGACGUCAAGUCAUCAUGACCCUUACGGCCUGGGCUACACACGUGCUACAAUGGUCGGUACAAAGGGUUGCCAAGCCGCGAGGUGGAGCUAAUCCCAUAAAACCGAUCGUAGUCCGGAUCGCAGUCUGCAACUCGACUGCGUGAAGUCGGAAUCGCUAGUAAUCGUGAAUCAGAAUGUCACGGUGAAUACGUUCCCGGGCCUU
This 244-nucleotide ribosomal RNA is filed under the name uncultured Pseudomonas sp. RNAcentral's name for it is "partial 16S ribosomal RNA". It matches the Rfam family "Bacterial small subunit ribosomal RNA", at positions 1140 to 1382 of the family's 1533-position model. Lineage: Bacteria; Pseudomonadati; Pseudomonadota; Gammaproteobacteria; Pseudomonadales; Pseudomonadaceae. The record is from RNAcentral.